GAUGAAGAACGUAGCGAAAUGCGAUCAGUAAUGUGAAUUGCAGAAUUCAGUGAAUCAUCGAAUCUUUGAACGCACAUUGCGCCCGCCAGUAUUCUGGCGGGCAUGCCUGUUCGAGCGUCAUUUCAACCAUCAAGCCCCCGGGCUUGUGUUGGGGACCUGCGGCUGCCGCAGGCCCUGAAAACCAGUGGCGGGCUCGCUAGUCACUCCGAGCGUAGUAGUUACAUCUCGCUCAGGGCGUGCUGCGGGUUCCGGCCGUUAAAAGCCUUUUACCCCAAGGUUGACCUCGGAUCAGGUAGGAAGACCCGCUGAACUUAAGCAUAUCAAUAAGCGGAGGA
This 335-nucleotide unclassified non-coding RNA is filed under the name soil metagenome. RNAcentral describes it as "partial contains 5.8S ribosomal RNA, internal transcribed spacer 2, and large subunit ribosomal RNA". The stretch from base 1 to 120 matches the Rfam family "5.8S ribosomal RNA", at positions 35 to 154 of the family's 154-position model. The record is from RNAcentral.